GGCAGGCUUAACGCAUGCAAGUCGAGGGGCAGCAUUUUUUUUUGCUUGCAAACUAAAGAUGGCGACCGGCGCACGGGUGAGUAACACGUAUCCAACCUGCCGAUAACUCGGGGAUAGCCUUUCGAAAGAAAGAUUAAUAUCCGAUAGUAUAUUAAAACCGCAUGGUUUUACUAUUAAAGAAUUUCGGUUAUCGAUGGGGAUGCGUUCCAUUAGUUUGUUGGCGGGGUAACGGCCCACCAAGACUACGAUGGAUAGGGGUUCUGAGAGGAAGGUCCCCCACAUUGGAACUGAGACACGGUCCAAACUCCUACGGGAGGCAGCAGUGAGGAAUAUUGGUCAAUGGACGAGAGUCUGAACCAGCCAAGUAGCGUGAAGGAUGACUGCCCUAUGGGUUGUAAACUUCUUUUAUAUGGGAAUAAAGUAUUCCACGUGUGGGAUUUUGUAUGUACCAUAUGAAUAAGGAUCGGCUAACUCCGUGCCAGCAGCCGCGGUAAUACGGAGGAUCCGAGCGUUAUCCGGAUUUAUUGGGUUUAAAGGGAGCGUAGGUGGAUUGUUAAGUCAGUUGUGAAAGUUUGCGGCUCAACCGUAAAAUUGCAGUUGAAACUGGCAGUCUUGAGUACAGUAGAGGUGGGCGGAAUUCGUGGUGUAGCGGUGAAAUGCUUAGAUAUCACGAAGAACUCCGAUUGCGAAGGCAGCUCACUAGACUGCAACUGACACUGAUGCUCGAAAGUGUGGGUAUCAAACAGGAUUAGAUACCCUGGUAGUCCACACAGUAAACGAUGAAUACUCGCUGUUUGCGAUAUACAGUAAGCGGCCAAGCGAAAGCAUUAAGUAUUCCACCUGGGGAGUACGCCGGCAACGGUGAAACUCAAAGGAAUUGACGGGGGCCCGCACAAGCGGAGGAACAUGUGGUUUAAUUCGAUGAUACGCGAGGAACCUUACCCGGGCUUAAAUUGCAUUUGAAUAAUCUGGAAACAGGUUAGCCGCAAGGCAAAUGUGAAGGUGCUGCAUGGUUGUCGUCAGCUCGUGCCGUGAGGUGUCGGCUUAAGUGCCAUAACGAGCGCAACCCUUAUCUUUAGUUACUAACAGGUCAUGCUGAGGACUCUAGAGAGACUGCCGUCGUAAGAUGUGAGGAAGGUGGGGAUGACGUCAAAUCAGCACGGCCCUUACGUCCGGGGCUACACACGUGUUACAAUGGGGGGUACAGAAGGCAGCUACCUGGCGACAGGAUGCUAAUCCCAAAAACCUCUCUCAGUUCGGAUCGAAGUCUGCAACCCGACUUCGUGAAGCUGGAUUCGCUAGUAAUCGCGCAUCAGCCAUGGCGCGGUGAAUACGUUCCCGGGCCUUGUACACACCGCCCGUCAAGCCAUGAAAGCCGGGGGUACCUGAAGUACGUAACCGCAAGGAGCGUCCUAGGGUAAAACUGGUAAUUGGGGCUA
RNAcentral lists this ribosomal RNA (1439 nucleotides) under uncultured organism. RNAcentral describes it as "SSU rRNA". It matches the Rfam family "Bacterial small subunit ribosomal RNA". The record is from RNAcentral.